This 468-nucleotide ribosomal RNA is filed under the name uncultured bacterium. RNAcentral describes it as "partial 16S ribosomal RNA". It matches the Rfam family "Bacterial small subunit ribosomal RNA", at positions 28 to 507 of the family's 1533-position model. The record is from RNAcentral.
GACGAACGCUGGCGGCGUGCUUAACACAUGCAAGUCGAACGGAAAGGCCCUGCUUUUGUUGGGUGCUCGAGUGGCGAACGGGUGAGUAACACGUGAGUAACCUGCCCUUGACUUUGUGAUAACUUCAGGAAACUGGGGCUAAUACCGGAUAGGAGCUCCUGCUGCAUGGUGGGGGUUGGAAAGUUUCGGCGGUUGGGGAUGUACUCGCGGCUUAUCAGCUUGUUGGUGGGGUAGUGGCUUACCAAGGCUUUGACGGGUAGCCGGCCUGAGAGGGUGACCGGCGACAUUGGGACUGAGAUAAGGCCCAGAAUCCUACGGGAGGCAGCAGUGGGGAAUAUUGCACAAUGGGCGGAAGCCUGAUGCAGCAACGCCGCGUGCGGGAUGACGGCCUUCGGGUUGUAAACCGCUUUCGCCUGUGACGAAGCGUGAGUGACGGUAAUGGGUAAAGAAGCACCGGCUAACUACGUG